AUACGUAGGUGACAAGCGUUAUCCGGAUUUACUGGGCGUAAAGGGCGUGUAGGCGGUCUUGCAAGUCAGAAGUGAAAUUCCUGAGCUCAACUCGGGCGCUGCUUCUGAAACUGCAGGACUUGAGUGCUGGAGGGGAUAGCGGAAUUCCUAGUGGAGCGGUAAAAUGCGCAGAUAUUAGGAAGAACACCGGUGGCGAAGGCGGCUAUCUGGACAGUAACUGACGCUGAGGCGCGAAAGCGUGGGGAGCAAACAGGAUUAGAUACCCUGUUAGUCCACGCCGUAAACGAUGAAUACUAGGUGUAGGGGGUAUCGACUCCCUCUGUGCCGCAGUUAACACAAUAAGUAUUCCGCCUGGGGAGUACGGCCGCAAGGUUGAAACUCAAAGGAAUUGACGGGG
RNAcentral lists this ribosomal RNA (397 nucleotides) under uncultured bacterium. Its description in RNAcentral is "partial 16S ribosomal RNA". It matches the Rfam family "Bacterial small subunit ribosomal RNA", at positions 523 to 918 of the family's 1533-position model. The record is from RNAcentral.